AUGUCUUUUGUCGGGCGAGUAGACCCGUCAAUGACAUACGCGGAUAAUAUUUAUGUACAUAAAUUUGGCGCACCCAACUCAAACUUUGCUGCAAGAAGAUUUGGCUCUGACACGCAGUUGUUCCGUUAUGGCCCUGAACCAUUCAAUUCCGAGGACUAUGGACAUAUGGGUUUCCCUGAAGCACCAUCUGCUGCAUUCCAGAGCUCCUUUUACAACCAGCAAGCUUCACUAACACCCUGCUCUGAUGCAGCAAAAGACUCACCGGUGUGCUCCAAUAUCUCUCAACAGAACUCCCAGUCUAUAUCAGAUAAUCAGAGUUCUGGACUUGAAGUAGAGUUCGAUGAUGAGAUCAGGCUGAAGCUUCAAGAGCUGGAGCAUGCUUUACUUGAUGAUGGAGAUGACAUCUUGUUCGAAGUUUCCCAGGCGGGUUGCAUCAGUGAUGAAUGGGCCGAUCCCAUGAAGGAUGUCUUGCUUGCAAAUUCUCCGAAAGAAUCAGAAUCAAGCAUUAGUUGUGCAGGCAGCAACAGCGGAGAAGCACGGACCCCAAAGCAGUUGCUCUUUGACUGUGCUACGGCAUUAGCUGAAUAUAAUGUAGAUGAAGCACAGGCAAUCAUAACGGACCUCCGGCAGAUGGUCUCAAUCCAAGGGGACCCUUCUCACAGGAUUGCAGCUUAUCUAGUGGAGGGCCUUGCUGCAAGGAUAGUAGCUUCAGGGACAGGCAUCUACAAGGCAUUGACAUGCAAGGACCCUCCAACUCUGUAUCAGCUGUCAGCAAUGCAAAUCCUCUUUGAGAUCUGUCCAUGCUAUCGAUUUGGUUUCAUGGCUGCUAAUUAUGCCAUACUUGAAGCCUGCAAAGGCGAAGAAAGGAUGCAUAUUAUAGACUUUGACAUCAACCAAGGCAGCCAGUAUAUUACACUGAUGCAGUUUAUGAAAGAUGAUGCCAACAAACCACGCCAUUUGAGAAUAACUGGUGUGGAUGAUCACGAGACAGUACAGAGGACUGUUGGAGGUCUGAAGGUCAUUGGGCAACGCCUGGAGAAGCUUGCGGAGGACUGCGGAAUAUCUUUUGAGUUCAGGGCAGUGGGUGCUGACAUCGGGGAUGUCACACCUGCAAUGCUAGAUUGCCGUCCCGGGGAAGCACUAGUUGUGAAUUUUGCAUUCCAGCUGCACCACCUUCCUGAUGAAAGUGUUUCGAUCAUGAACGAACGGGAUCAGCUCCUUCGUAUGGUGAAGGGCCUUCAACCAAAGCUUGUGACCCUGGUUGAGCAGGAUGCUAAUACUAAUACUGCUCCAUUUCAGACAAGGUUCCGUGAGGUCUAUGACUACUACUCCGCUCUUUUCGAUUCACUGGACGCAACACUUCCAAGGGAAAGUCCAGAUAGAAUGAAUGUGGAAAGGCAAUGCCUUGCACGGGAAAUUGUGAACAUCUUGGCUUGCGAAGGCCCUGAUCGCGUGGAGAGGUACGAAGUUGCCGGAAAAUGGAGGGCGAGAAUGACGAUGGCUGGAUUCGCACCGUGCCCAUUUAGCAGCAACGUCAUCGGAGGAAUAAGAUCGCUGCUGAGCUCGUACUGCGACAGGUACAAGUUCGAGGAGGACCAUGGGGGACUUCACUUCGGCUGGGGAGAGAAAACGCUCAUCGUCGCCUCCGCAUGGCAAUAG
RNAcentral lists this ribosomal RNA (1659 nucleotides) under Triticum aestivum (bread wheat). RNAcentral's name for it is "partial small subunit ribosomal RNA". The record is from RNAcentral. Lineage: Eukaryota; Viridiplantae; Streptophyta; Magnoliopsida; Poales; Poaceae.